CCGCUCUUACGAGAGCUACAUUGUGGGGUGAGCGGUAUAGAAUAAGGUUCAUUGUGGGGUGAUUUUGUAUUAUGGGGUGCAUCCCAUAAUGACAUCAUCUUAAACGGGUGCAAAUGUACAUUGUGGGUUGUUUCUUUAAUUUUCUGAGUUGCACCCCAGAAGAAAAUGGACAUAUCUGUCCCUCUUUGGACAGUUACGGACACAAUUCGUGUUUAAGAAUGAUUGCAAUCUAUUAAUAGCGGCCACCCAAUGGAAUGACGUCAUUCGGUAGCAUUCGUUAUUGUUCGGCAAAAACGGAGUUAAGCGCAUGCGCAGUCAAGUGACCUGGCCACGCCGUCGCCAUAUUGGUAGUCCUGAAGCGGAUCUAGACAGCGUUUUCACAACAACUGACACCAUGUCCAAAAGGCAGCCAGAAAGUAGCUCUGCAUGGUAGGAGUCCAUUAAAGAUGUGCCUGAUGAAACCAUUGGAAAUGUCAACAAUGGUAGCAUGGAUGGAAGUGACAGUGAUGUACCUUAAGAAAACAUUUGAAGUGACAAUGAUUGUAAGGUGGAUGAAAGUGACAAUGAUGUGCCUAUAGAAACCACUGCAAGUGACAACAAUGAUAACAUGGAUGAAAGUGACAAUGAUGGGCCUGAAGAAACCAUUUUAAGUGACAACGAGUGUAACAUGGAUGAAAGUGACAGUGACAGGCCUGAGGAAAAUAUUAUAAGUGAUAAUAAGGGACAACAAUAAUAACAUGGAUGAAAGUGGCAAUGAUGUGCCUGAGGAAAAUAUUGUAAGUGAUAUAACAGUUGUAACGUGGAUGGAAGUGAUACUAAUAUUUCUGAAAAAAAACCCUCAGGGAUUGGCUGUAAUGAAUGAACAGGAUGAUUUUUUGGGAGAAAUAAAUGGUGAAUAAAGAUAUUUUGGAUUUGACUUCACUUUUACUGAGAAUGACAAUAAUUCGUUUUCAAAAACAGAAAUUUGCAGCUUUUGUCUAUAUAGAUUUUGUCAUCUUUUUUGUAGACGAUUGUGAUUUUUUUCAAUUUGGUUUGAAAAUUUGAUUAAUAAAAAUAAAUGUUGUUUUUUUUUCAGAUUGUUUGGUAUUCAUAAUGUUGACAAACCCAAGUUAUAGUCUCAAGCUCCAUUUUAGUGAUCUGCUUUGUGUCCGGCAUCUGCCAACAAUACCUUCUUUUAACAUUUACUCCAGAACCGCUUGAACUUCAUUACCGGUAGUAGUAACUAAUCUGUUUUGCCCCCUUGAACAAUGUUUUGCUCAUGUCGGUCAGUAGGCCAUUUGGUUUCCGCUCAAUAACAAGAGAUUACUUAGACAUGCUGUGGUCAAACUUAAUAGGAUGACUACCUUUGGUCAGUAGGUAACCCCUUAUUGUUUUGGGGGUCAGUAGGUCAAAGAUCCAGGUCACAGUGACCUCAACACUGAAAACCAUUCCCACUUAAUUACAAGAGAACGCUUGAACCUGCAGUGGUCAACUGCCUAUGGCCAGUAGAUGAACCUAUAGUUUUUGGGGUCAGUAGGUAAAGUGUCUAGGUCACUGAGACCGCAGCACUAAAAAUGUUUGCAUUUUAGUUUUAUGAGCUGUAUCAAACUUUAAGCAAUUUAUGAAAUGUCUCUGUGUAAUGAGAGUAUAAUGGGCUCAACCCGUAAAACAACUGGCAUGGACAUCCUCAUGAGCUACAUCAAACUUUAUAAAAUUAAAUGUCAUGACAAUGAUAUGGGCUGCAACCAAUAAAACAGUUGACAUUGACACCCUUAUGGGCUGCAUCAGACUUUUAGAAAUGA
Molecule: long non-coding RNA, 1781 nt
Organism: Mercenaria mercenaria
Lineage: Eukaryota; Metazoa; Mollusca; Bivalvia; Venerida; Veneridae
Exons: 3
Source: RefSeq, a predicted model, not a curated record